UGCAGCUUAGUUUAAAUAGAAUAGUUAAUUUGCACUUAACUGGUAAGAUUUCCUUAGCAGCAA
This 63-nucleotide transfer RNA is filed under the name Ozobranchus jantseanus. RNAcentral describes it as "tRNA-Ala". The record is from RNAcentral. Lineage: Eukaryota; Metazoa; Annelida; Clitellata; Hirudinida; Ozobranchidae.